Molecule: long non-coding RNA, 639 nt
Filed under: Coturnix japonica (Japanese quail)
Lineage: Eukaryota; Metazoa; Chordata; Aves; Galliformes; Phasianidae
Description: lncRNA (ENSCJPG00005002611.1)
Source: RNAcentral
GCCCCAUAGCCCUGCCCCAUAGCUGCCCCAUAGCCCUUCCCCAUAGCUGCCCCAUAGCUGCCCCAUAGCUGCCCCAUAGCUGCCCCAUAGCUGCCCCAUAGCCCUGCCCCAUAGCUGCCCCAUAGCUGCCCCAUAGCUGCCCCAUAGCAGCCGGCUGUGCCCCACAGGAGCCCACGAGGAGGUGGAUUACAGCGAGAAGCUGAAGUUCAGUGAUGAAGAGGAUGGGAGGGAGUCGGAUGAGGAGGGGUGAGUGCGACCCAUAAGUACGGCCUGCCCCAUAAGUGCCUUCAAGUGCCCCAUAAGUGCCUUCAAGUGCCCCAUAAGUGCCUUCAGGUGCCCCAUAAGUGCCUUUGGGUGCCCCAUAAGUGCCUUCAAGUGCCCCAUAAGUGCUCUGUGAGCCCCAUAAGUACCUUCAAGUGCCCCAUAAGUUCCUUUAAGUGCCCCAUAAGUGCUGUGUGUGCCCCAUAAGUGCUGUGUGAGCCCCAUAAGUGCUCUGUGAGCCCCAUAAGUACCUUUGUGUGCCCCAUAAGUACCUUUCGGUGCCCCAUAAGCGCUGUGUGUGCCCCAUAAGUGCUGUGUGAGCCCCAUAAGUGUCUUUAAGUGCCCCAUAAGUGCCAUGGGGCGCCCCAUAACCACGUC